Molecule: ribosomal RNA, 468 nt
Filed under: uncultured bacterium
Lineage: Bacteria
Description: partial 16S ribosomal RNA
Rfam family: Bacterial small subunit ribosomal RNA
Source: RNAcentral
GACGAACGCUGGCGGCGUGCUUAACACAUGCAAGUCGAACGGAAAGGCCCGGCGUUUGUGGGGUGCUCGAGUGGCGAACGGGUGAGUAACACGUGAGUAACCUGCCCUUGACUUUGGGAUAACUUCAGGAAACUGGGGCUAAUACCGGAGAGGAGCUCCUGCUGCAUGGUGGGGGUUGGAAAGUUUCGGCGGUUGGGGAUGGACUCGCGGGUUAUCAGCUUGUUGGUGGGGUAGUGGCUUACCAAGGCUUUGACGGGUAGCCGGCCUGAGAGGGUGACCGGCCACAUUGGGACUGAGAUACGGCCCAGACUCCUACGGGAGGCAGCAGUGGGGAAUAUUGCACAGUGGGCGGAAGCCUGAUGCAGCAACGCCGCGUGCGGGAUGACGGCCUUCGGGUUGUAAACCGCUUUCGCCUGUGACGAAGCGUGAGUGACGGUAAUGGGUAAAGAAGCACCGGCUAACUACGUG